UACAUUGUAUUUCAGCAGCUAGAGCCUGUCUGGGGGACAGGGGGUCGUCGGUUCAAGUCCGGCCACUCCGACCA
This 74-nucleotide transfer RNA is filed under the name Methylorubrum populi. Its description in RNAcentral is "tRNA-Pro". The record is from RNAcentral. Lineage: Bacteria; Pseudomonadati; Pseudomonadota; Alphaproteobacteria; Hyphomicrobiales; Methylobacteriaceae.